This is a long non-coding RNA of Saccostrea echinata, 472 nucleotides long. RefSeq lists it as uncharacterized. The transcript has 3 exons. Lineage: Eukaryota; Metazoa; Mollusca; Bivalvia; Ostreida; Ostreidae. The record is from RefSeq and is a predicted model, not a curated record.
UUCAGGAUUGCAUCGUGUGUCUAUUAGAAUCGUGUGACUAUUCCUUGGGUACAGUAGAGUAUGUAGUCUCCUGUCCCUCCAACAAAUUAGAAGCAGCACAGUCAGCUUUGCGCAAAAAUUGUGAGCACCAUGCAAGACUACAAUCAUGCACAAAUCCGAAAAAUUUCAAAUACCAUUGCGUUAUAAAUGCAAAAGGAGACAAAAAUAUUGAAGUUUGUGCACCUGGAAAGAAGGUUAACGGUUUUUGUACAGAGUUUGACACCGAAGCAGCAAUCAUUCAAGACAACUACCACUUUGAUUGCACAAAUUAUACUUCACCUUGUCCAAGACAGUACAACUCAACAGAGGCCUAUUUAUAUAAAGAAUGCUAUAAAUGCAAUUGGGAAGCCAAAACAACUUCAUCUAACAAUCACUCGACCGAGAAAACUCCGUAAGUAUUAUUUCACACACCCCUCUCAAUUCAUGUAGCUAU